CAGGACGAACGCUGGCGGCGUGCUUAACACAUGCAAGUCGAACGGGGUGUUUAUUUCGGUAAACACCAAGUGGCGAACGGGUGAGUAACGCGUAAGCAAUCUACCUUCAAGAUGGGGACAACACUUCGAAAGGGGUGCUAAUACCGAAUGAAUGUAAGAGUAUCGCAUGAGACACUUACUAAAGGAGGCCUCUGAAAAUGCUUCCGCUUGAAGAUGAGCUUGCGUCUGAUUAGCUAGUUGGUGAGGGUAAAGGCCCACCAAGGCGACGAUCAGUAGCCGGUCUGAGAGGAUGAACGGCCACAUUGGGACUGAGACACGGCCCAGACUCCUACGGGAGGCAGCAGUGGGGAAUCUUCCGCAAUGGGCGAAAGCCUGACGGAGCAACGCCGCGUGAACGAAGAAGGUCUUAGGAUCGUAAAGUUCUGUUGUUAGGGACGAAGGGUAAGAAUCAUAAUAAGGUUUUUAUUUGACGGUACCUAACGAGGAAGCCACGGCUAACUACGUGCCAGCAGCCGCGGUAAUACGUAGGCGGCAAGCGUUGUCCGGAAUUAUUGGGCGUAAAGGGAGCGCAGGCGGGAAACUAAGCGGAUCUUAAAAGUGCGGGGCUCAACCCCGUGAUGGGGUCCGAACUGGUUUUCUUGAGUGCAGGAGAGGAAAGCGGAAUUCCCAGUGUAGCGGUGAAAUGCGUAGAUAUUGGGAAGAACACCAGUGGCGAAGGCGGCUUUCUGGACUGUAACUGACGCUGAGGCUCGAAAGCUAGGGUAGCGAACGGGAUUAGAUACCCCGGUAGUCCUAGCCGUAAACGAUGGAUACUAGGUGUGGGAGGUAUCGACCCCUUCCGUGCCGGAGUUAACGCAAUAAGUAUCCCGCCUGGGGAGUACGGCCGCAAGGUUGCAACUCAAAUGAAG
This 908-nucleotide ribosomal RNA is filed under the name uncultured Bacteroidota bacterium. Its description in RNAcentral is "bacterial SSU rRNA". It matches the Rfam family "Bacterial small subunit ribosomal RNA", at positions 25 to 910 of the family's 1533-position model. Lineage: Bacteria; Pseudomonadati; Bacteroidota. The record is from RNAcentral.